AGUGAACGCUGGCGGUAGGCCUAACACAUGCCAGUCGAACGGUAGCACAGUAAGAGCUUGCUCUUACGGGUGGCGAGUGGCGGACGGGUGAGGAAUACAUCGGAACCUACUUUUUCGUGGGGGAUAACGUAGGGAAACUUACGCUAAUACCGCAUACGACCUACGGGUGAAAGCAGGGGAUCUUCGGGCCUUGCGCGAUUGAAUGAGCCGAUGUCGGAUUAGCUAGUUGGCGGGGUAAAGGCCCACCAAGGCGACGAUCCGUAGCUGGUCUGAGAGGAUGAUCAGCCACACUGGAACUGAGACACGGUCCAGACUCCUACGGGAGGCAGCAGUGGGGAAUAUUGGACAAUGGGCGCAAGCCUGAUCCAGCCAUACCGCGUGGGUGAAGAAGGCCUUCGGGUUGUAAAGCCCUUUUGUUGGGAAAGAAAAGCAGCAGGUUAAUACCCCGCUGUUCUGACGGUACCCAAAGAAUAAGCACCGGCUAACUUCGUG
This 492-nucleotide ribosomal RNA is filed under the name uncultured bacterium. RNAcentral describes it as "partial 16S ribosomal RNA". It matches the Rfam family "Bacterial small subunit ribosomal RNA", at positions 29 to 507 of the family's 1533-position model. The record is from RNAcentral.